UGCCUACGGGUGGCUGCAGUGAGGAAUAUUGCGCAAUGGGCGAAAGCCUGACGCAGCGACGCCGCGUGGGUGAGGAAGGCCUUCGGGUCGUAAAGCCCUUUUCUGCGUGACGAGAGAGGACGGUAGCGCAGGAACAAGUCUCGGCUAACUACGUGCCAGCAGCCGCGGUAAAACGUAGGAGGCGAGCGUUAUCCGGAGUUACUGGGCGUAAAGAGCGUGUAGGCGGGUGUGCAAGUUUGGCGUGAAAGCUCCCGGCUAAACUGGGAGAGUGCGCUGAAGACUGCAUAUCUAGAGGCGAGUAGAGGGACGUGGAAUUCCGGGUGUAGUGGUGAAAUGCGUAGAGAUCCGGAGGAACACCAGUGGCGAAGGCGACGUCCUGGGCUUGACCUGACGCUGAGACGCGACAGCACGGGGAGCGAACGGGAUUAGAUACCCGGGUAGUC
This 443-nucleotide ribosomal RNA is filed under the name uncultured bacterium. RNAcentral's name for it is "bacterial SSU rRNA". It matches the Rfam family "Bacterial small subunit ribosomal RNA", at positions 335 to 795 of the family's 1533-position model. The record is from RNAcentral.